This 459-nucleotide long non-coding RNA is filed under the name Ananas comosus (pineapple). Its description in RNAcentral is "long non-coding RNA (ACOM_LNC014542)". Lineage: Eukaryota; Viridiplantae; Streptophyta; Magnoliopsida; Poales; Bromeliaceae. The record is from RNAcentral.
UUUUCAAAUAGAUCGAAAUAAAUAUUAUGUUACAAAAUAUAAUUAUACUAAGGGACAGUUUGGUUGAAUAUAAUUAUAAAUAUAGUGUAGUUAAAAAUACAUGCAGUUGAAAAUAUAAUAAUUAUAAUUACAUAUAAUUUGUUCGGUUGAAAAAAACUAAAAUGAAUAAUUUAUCGGCCAAUUUGCAUAAAAAUUCACUUAUUUUGGACUUUUGCAAAACUGGACCACCUUUUUCGUUUUUGCAGAUUCGGUCCGCUUUUUCAGCAAACUGACCAAAAUACCCUUAUUACUUUUUCUCUUUCCUCUUUCUCUCUCCUCUUCGUUUCUAUCGUUCUUUUUUUUUUCUCGCCGAAAAAAAAGAGGCGGAUCGAACCGUCGCCUCCCUCCUCACCCUCCUUCUUCACCGUUGCCUCCCUCCUCACCCUCCUCUCCACCGCCCACGACCCCUCCUCCUCUCCC